Non-coding RNA from Podarcis lilfordi (Lilford's wall lizard), 81 nucleotides. NCBI's taxonomy places the organism in Eukaryota, Metazoa, Chordata, Lepidosauria, Squamata, Lacertidae. The record is from the annotation of a GenBank genome assembly.
GCCUGCUUUGGGGCUUCACUCAGUUGGGAGAGCAUGAGGCUCUUAACUUCAGGGUUGUGGGUUUGAGCCCCACGUUGGGCA